Molecule: long non-coding RNA, 7018 nt
Filed under: Equus caballus (horse)
Lineage: Eukaryota; Metazoa; Chordata; Mammalia; Perissodactyla; Equidae
Description: lncRNA (ENSECAG00000056235.1)
Source: RNAcentral
GGGCGGCGCUCGUGACCUGUCGGGAGCUCUGUAGGGAAGGACCCGUCUUUUGUAAUUUCCUACGGUUUCCUAAUAAGGGUGAAAAUGCGGGCACCUCUGAACUUGCAAGCUGGGAGUUCUGAUACAAGUAAACUACAGAAUUUGUUGUUAUUCGGGUUUAUUUGGAGGCUUUUACUUGUCGUUUUUAUGUGUUCUCUUAGUGUGUAAAUUGGAAAAAAGGGUGGCAUCCAUAAAAUGACGACUUUGUAUAUGGAGGCUGGGAUAAGCAGUACCUAGUCUGGCUUGAUGAAAUCAGUGUAAUUUUAGUUUAGAUGAAAUCUAGUUUUCGUUUGCAUUAUCCAGGAGUGGCAUCUGGAGAGGCUCGGUGUAAAAAGCGGUUAAAGAGCUUCCAGGAGUGGUUAAUCCUUUUGUAAGCUAUUUGAAGCCAAAAUGGAAAUCAAGGUAUAUUGGAAGUAAAGUAAGAAUUUAAGCUUCAAAAGGGCGCAGGUUUUGUCCCCGUUUUACAGAUGAUGAAACAGACUGGAAGGUUUCCGACGCGCCGCGGGCCGGGCGGGGCUGCGCCGGCUCCCUCCGGCUCCCUCCGGCCGUCGCCCACCCGCGUCUGUUCCCAUUUCUGCAACCGUGGUUCCCCCUGACUUCUCGUGUGUGUGUUCCUCUCGCGCGCCCUUUUACUUCCUCUGUUUCUUUAACUUCCCCUGUUUUCUUGAUAGUUGAGCCAGCCUUUCCUUCCUCUCCUUUAAAUGCCUCUCCCUUAAAUGGCCGUAAAGAGAAAUAGACCAACUUAAGUUGAUUUUCAUAAGGAUUAUUUUCUUGCUUUAAGGUUUUAUUUUGGGGAGGGGAGUUCAUAGAUAUAAAAUUUCCUCUAGUAAGAGUUGCCUUCCGCUUCCAUAGCUGUUCAGUGAGGGUAGGAGUCUGUGUGUGUGUGUGAAUAGUGAAGAAAAGAGUGUGUGGUGAGCUGUUUAGAAUCAGAAACAGGAGAAAAAUAAUCUAUACAUAAACAAAGAGGUGCUCUAAAUGAUGCCAAACUCAGUUCGAAAUGACAGCGGAGCUGUAGGUUCUGUAAAACUCCGGAAACACGCACUAUUCCCCCUCAGUCCCGGCGCAGGCCUCAGUGAUGCCUUUCCUCAGAGGAUUUGGGGCUUUCCUGGGAUAAACCUGUAGCUUUAGCUGUCCCAGAGGAAGUAAUCACAGGGGCUCUGUGUGAAAUAAAAUAAUGCAUCAGUGUUUCCAGACUACAAGGCCACCCUGUGGGCCUCUCAGUGUGGCAGCACCUGUUCCCAGUUCUGCCAGCGGAUGCUGUUACUCUGGCUCUACACUCGGGGAACCUAAAGCCCGGUGAGUCACUUGCCUGACAUUACAGACCUCCAAGGAGGCCCAGGUUCUGCUGUUUCCAGUGACCUCAUCUCUGAGCAAACAUGUCUGGUGAUAAAGACUAUCAAAUUUAAAAUGAAAAAUAGAAUUCACUACAACAUACUCAUGCCAACUGACUGAAGUAUGCUCUCUUACCACCAAUUUAUCUCUUUGGUGUUUGUCUUAUUCUGCUUGGUGAACAGAAACUUGCAGAAAUUGAUUGGAAACAUAUUUCGUAUUUUGCUAAAGCAUUUGAAAUUACUCCUGAAGUCUGGUUUAUGUUUUAGUUUUACUUGAAAGUUGCUUAGAGAGUAAAUCUUUUUCCCCCAGCUCUAUUUAGAUAGAAUUGACAAGUCACUUUGUAUAAGUGCUGAUUUGAUACAUUUAUAUAUUGCAAAAUAAUUAGCUAACACCUCCACCGUGUCACAUAAUUACCAUUUCUUUUUUGUAGUGAAAAUACUUAAGAUCUACUCUCUUAGCAACAUUCAAGUAUGUAAUGCAGUAUUAUUAGCUAUAAUCACCAUGCUAUACAUUAGAUUCCCCCGAACUUAUUAAUUUUAUAACUGGGAAGUUUGUACCCUUUGACCUCUGUCUCCCCAUUUCUUCCACCCCCCCCAACCCCCCAAACCCCUGGUAACCACCACUCUACUGUCUGUUUGGCUGAGUUUGGCUUUGUUAAGAAGAAAACCACAGCCCAAAAUGGCAUCACUUGUGCCAAAAGCCCAUGAUACCAAACCUAGAUUUAAUACCUGAUCUAAUUGCAGUUUUAACUUUUCCCAGAAAUGUAAUCUUAACCAACCAGUCUGGAAUUUUCUGGUCAGGCAGUAGUAAGGUGAUCUGUUGCAUAGGCCGUCUCCAUCCUCCAGAGGAAGAAGAGGUAAUCUGGGUGGUAAAACCCAUGCCAGUUCCCUCCCCAAGAAGAGGUCCUGGCCCAAACUAACCCUCUCUUUUCAUUUGCUAAUGACUUCCUUGGUCCACCCUUCUUCCUAUAAAAACCAUCCCUUUUGUACAACACCUGGGAGUGCCCUUCUACUUUCUAGAUGGAAUACUGCUCCAUUCAAGAAUUGCUUCAUAAAGUCAAUUAGAGCUUCAGAUUUACUUGGUUGAAUUUUGUUUUUAACAGGUUUUUUAGAUUCCACAGGUAAGUGACAGCACACAGUAUUUGUCUUUCUCUGACUUUCUUCGCUAGCAUCAUGCCCUCAAGUUUCACCCAACUUGUCACAAACUGCAAAAUUUCCUUCUUUCUCAUGGCUGAAUAGUAUUCCUAGAUAGAUAGAUAGGUAUUGGACAUGAAUAAGAAGAUGUGACAUAUAUGUGUCACAUCUUUAUUCAUUCAUCCAUUGAUGGACACUUAGGUUGUUUGCAUAUCUUGGCUCUUGUGAAUAAUGCUGCAGUGAACAUGGGAGUGCAGAUGUCCUCUCAGAUCCUGAUUUCAAUUCCUUUGGCGAUAUUCCCAGAAGUGGGAUUGCUGGACCAUAUGGCAGUUCUAUUUUUAAUUUUUAGGAACCUCCAUACUGUUUUCCCUGUGGCUCUAUCAAUUUGCGUUCCCACCAACAGUGCACAAGAGUACUCUUUUCUUCACACCCUUGCCAACGCUUGUUAUCUGUGGUCUUGUUUUUGGGGGGGGGAGGAGAGGGGGGAGAAGAUUAGCCCUGAGCUAACAUCUGCUGCCAAUUCUCCUCUUUUUGCUUAGGAAGACUGGCCCUGAGCUAACAUCCGUGCGCAUCUUCUUCUAUUUUAUAUGUGGGACACCUACCAUAGCACGGCUUGCCAAGCAGUGCCAUGUCCGCACCCGGGAUCCAAACUGGCGAACCCCGGGCCACCGAAGUGAAACGUGCGCACUUAACCUCUGUGCCACCAGGCUGGCCCCUUUCUUGUCUUUUUGAUGAUUACCAUUCUAACAGCAUCACUGAUGAGCCAUGUGUAGGUCCAUGCCUGGAAUCCAAACCCAUGAACCCCAGGCUGCUGAAGCAGAGCAUGCGAACUUAACCGCUACACCACAGGGCGGCCUUUCUUCUCUUCUUAUAAGGACAUCAGUCAUUGGAUUUAGCAUCUAUCUUAAUCUGUUGGAUUCCAUGUGUACUGGAUCCCAGCUCUCCCUCUGUUUUGGCUUACUACCUUAUCUUGGUAGAAAGCAUCCUCCAGUAGCUUCUUAUGGAAGAGUGCAUUGAAGAUGUCGCCGCAUGUUUUCCCUUAGAAGAGGACUUCCUCGUCACGUAACUAGUUCAAUAUGCCGCACUCUGUCCUGGGAAUGGAUGUUCCACCCGUCAAAGCGACUCGAUGUGGAUGAGCUGAUCACACACGACCACACCUUCAGGGCAAAUGUCCCUGGGUAUCAAUAAAGCUCUGCAUACCGAAAAGGGUGUAAAUUCCAGACCCCGCCCAGAUGAACCGGGUCUAAAGUUACAAAUAACAUGUAUCGUGGCCAAGUUCAUCGACAGGAACUGUUUCCGCAAGAAAGAUGCUGAUCAAAACAGAGUUGAACAGAAGACGGAGUAGAAGAAAGGGAAAAUGAAUGAUUCAGUUAUUGCUAACUCGUAGGAUAUAAAUAUUUGGUAAAUAAGAAACGAACUUUUGAGAGAAAAACGUUAAUUCACUGAGAAAUAAGGAUAAUGAAUUCAUUUUAAUUGUCUGCCUAAUUUCAUACAUGUAACCUACUUCUUUCCUUGAUGUCAUAUUAUCAUGGGAUCUUUAGAAGGGACCUUGAAAUUUCAUGUGACACAUUUCAGUGAUUGCAGGUCAGAACUCAUUUCAUCCAUCCAGGGAAGUGAGAGUCUAUCUGCUCUCAAAGAAUUAGGAAGAAAGGGAUUCCAACCUGAUGGGGAAACGAAAUGAUAAGGAUUAUGAGAAUGAUGGGAUGGGGAGGGGGCCUUUUUCUGUUGCCCCGGAUUUGAAAGAAGGCCCAGAGCUAAAAACGGUAAUCGGGAUCUGAAACUUUCUCCAAAGUUUUUCUAAGGGGCUGAUGAACUGGGCCUCAGUCCCCACCUACACCCCCUGCCCCUUAAUACCCAGUCCAGGGUCUACAGCAGAAGCCUGAGGAGAAGUGAGGUGGGCCGUUCCUCCCCUCCCACUGGGGAGGGACUUCUCCUGACUCCCACUGCCUAGUAACGAAAGAGGCUCUGACAGUGGCUUUCAGGGCUGAGCCUGGUCACCUCUGCUUAGGUAGCAGACUUGCUGGGCUGCCAUUCCUCCCAGAGCCCAGAAGAUGGAAGCUGGGGAGACCUGGCUGGCCCGGUGGAAUUGGCGACAGUGGAGCAGCCAGCUUGCCCGCCUAUUAUGUCGCAUGACCAGGGUGCAGGAAAUUCCUUAGGACCAGAGGACGUAAGGAAGGCAGCUAUCCUUGAGCCACCUGGCUAUACGCCCCUCCCACCCCCAAAGACUGUGCACCAUGAUUUGGGUAUAUUACUGGGCUAGUUGAGGGGUAAGUGGGAGAGGUCCAGCUAGAGCUGAAUCUUCCGUAUUGGGGCACUGCGCACUGGGAAGACCCGUCUGGCUAAAUUUCACAUGUGCUCCCCAUGAGGCAGAGUUCAGAUGCUGGCAUGCACACUCAGGGUUGCCGGAGAAGCAGAGCAGUCAACAGAGAGGGGGCCACAGCUGUCUCUUUCCUUCGCUUUCUUCCUGACUCCCAUCCUGAGGGGAGCCAGGCCUGGGAGGGGGAAGAAGGAGUGUCUCAGAGCCUGGACUCCCUCCAGCCUCAUCUCACUCCAAGCAGUCAGGGGCUCGACACGUGCCCUCUCUGCAGGGGUGGGAGAGGGAUGAGAUAGACUUAUGUAGAGUUUGAAAUUGAAGUCUUAGAUGAUCUUCUUUUAGUAUCCAAAAGUGAAUAGGAAGUGAUGCAGUCUGCCCAGGAUGUCAUGGAGUGAUGGCAAAGGGAAAAGUGGAAGAUGACAAAGGCGGGUGCAGUUCUGAUCACCAGUUCCAGUGUGUGGUUUUUUUCCCCACAGCACCAAGCAAUUCUCAAGUCACCAGCAGGGUGUCCUGUAAUUCAGCUCAGUUCUGAUGCUGUCUACGGGAGACAGCAUCAGAUUCCACAGGGUAAGGGCUCAGCCCCACGAGACUGCCUCCAAUUCAGAUGCCAAUCCCAAGUCCAGGUUGUCACCUGUGCUUCUGCCCAACUGGCUGUAAAUUAAAGGAACCCAGGACCCCCUCCUCAGGUUCAAUUAAUUUGCUAGAGCAGCUGACAGAACUCAGGAAAACAGUUUACUUACUAGAUUACCAGUUUGUUAUAAAGGACAUUAAAGGAUAUGAAUCAACUGCCAGGUGAAGAGAUACACAGGACAAUGUCCCAAAUGAAGGAGCUUCUGACCCUGUGGAGUUUGGGACCUGGCACAUGGCAGCAUUCUGGUUCACCAACCUAGAAGCUCUCUGAAUCUCGUCCUUUUGGGUUUUUAUGGAGGCUUCAUUACAUAGGCAUGAUUAGUUAAAUCAAUGGCCAUGGGUGACUGAUUCAAUCUUCAGGCCCUCUCCCCUCCUGGGAGGUCAGGGGGUGGGACUGAAAUUUCCGACUCUCUGUUCACAGGAUUGGGUUCUCUGACAGCCAGCCCCCCUCCUAGGUGCUUUCCGGAGUGACCUCCUUAACCUAACAAAAGACACCUUUAUCUCUCUCACUUAGGAAAUUCCAAGGCUUUCCGGAGCUCUGUGCCAGGAGAAGGAUGAAGACCAAACAUAUAUUUCUUAUUAUAAAUCACAUAUCACAGCAGGGAUUAGGAAGAAGUUAGGUUAUUUCACAUUUAUGUCCCAUUAAGUAGAGACAAAUUGGCUACGUAAGUAUAUAGUGGGAAUGCUAUUUAAAAACUGAUAUAAUUCUUAUUUUCCUAAUUCCUGUUCCUCUUCCAUCCUUCACCUUUAAGGCUUAUUUCCCAGGGAAGAAAAUGAUGAUAUCAAAGAAAUUCUGAAGGAAAUCGUGACAAUCAGUGUUUUCCACCCAAUGGGAAGAGAAAGUAGAUAUCACUUCUAGUUUCUAGGAAGCUGUGUCUUUUGGGGCUGCCAUGAAAAAAUACCACAGAUUGGCCUAAACAACACAAAUUUAUUUUCGCUCAGUUCUGGAGGCUGGAAGUCCAAGAUCAAGAUGCCAGUAGAUUUGGUUCCAGCAUAAUAUACAGAAAUGCUGAACAUUCCAUUCAACCACGUGGGACAAACUGGGAAUUCCUGAGGAUUAAAUUUCAGCAUGAGGAAUGAGAAAAUUCCAUACAAUUAAGAGGAGACAGGAAGAAGGAAAUGGCAGACCAGAGGUGACAUCACAUUUGAGGUGUGAUCAACAUCAUUGGUCAGCACCGAGGGGGGACAUUCCAGACAGUUCUGGAGAGCUGGACCUGAGGUCGGAGAGCAAUCUUGUAAGCAGAGAAGAAAGGAGCAUCAAACAGUGCCUAUUUUGGGGACCUUGACCGUCCAGUAAAUCGCAUCAUAGUACACCCACCGUUACAACGUUUUACAUUUGCAUAACAGUUUUGGUCUAAGAAUCUUGGAGAUUUUUCAAGAAACAGCAUUGCUAUUAUAGUUCUGUUUUAAUAUAAGUGGAAAUAGUGAAUCACAGGAUUAAAGUAACUUUUCAAGGCAUUGUUUAGUGCUAGAUGAGGCUGUUAGUUGGUAAGAAGUAUAAAAAUCAAGAAGAAAUGUACAUGAAUCUAACGACAUUGGCCAAAAUAAAGCAGAAUUGUGAUCCCAACAA